AGAGUUUGAUCCUGGCUCAGAACGAACGCUGGCGGCAUGCCUAACACAUGCAAGUCGAACGAGACCUUCGGGUNNUAGUGGCGCACGGGUGCGUAACGCGUGGGAAUCUGCCCUUCGGUUCGGAAUAACUCAGGGAAACUUGAGCUAAUACCGGAUAAUGACUUCGGUCCAAAGAUUUAUCGCCGAGGGAUGAGCCCGCGUAGGAUUAGCUAGUUGGUGAGGUAAAGGCUCACCAAGGCGACGAUCCUUAGCUGGUCUGAGAGGAUGAUCAGCCACACUGGGACUGAGACACGGCCCAGACUCCUACGGGAGGCAGCAGUGGGGAAUAUUGGNCAAUGGGCGAAAGCCUGAUCCAGCAAUGCCGCGUGAGUGAUGAAGGCCUUAGGGNUGAAAGCUCUUNUACCCGGG
Molecule: ribosomal RNA, 408 nt
Filed under: uncultured bacterium
Lineage: Bacteria
Description: bacterial SSU rRNA
Rfam family: Bacterial small subunit ribosomal RNA
Source: RNAcentral